RNAcentral lists this long non-coding RNA (462 nucleotides) under Salvia miltiorrhiza (redroot sage). RNAcentral describes it as "long non-coding RNA (SMIL_LNC011524)". Lineage: Eukaryota; Viridiplantae; Streptophyta; Magnoliopsida; Lamiales; Lamiaceae. The record is from RNAcentral.
UUAAGCAAACCCUGAACGAUUAUUACAGUUUUCAUAAUACAACCCGGAAGACUUUAUUUUAUUAUAUUUUAUUUAUUCACCUAAUUUCUCCACCUAAUUUCUCCACCUAAUUUAUCCACCUACUCUUCCACAUCCACCUACUCUUCCACCACUACACUCUUUUUCCCCCACCACUACUCCUACCUCCCCACCACUACAUUCCAUAUUACACUUAGCAAGACAAAGCACACUUCAUUUUCUUCCUCACACUUCACUCUCGGCUCUCACUCAAUCUCUCUCACUAUACUCUCUUUUCCUCCAUUGAUGUCCAUUGAAGAAAGCUUAGAGAAGCUUCAUCAAACACUACUAUGAGAUAAUCCACCAUCCAAUCCAAUCAAAUACUAUCAUAUUUCAUCAAAUUCAAGAAGCUAGAGCUAAGAUCAAAGUUGGAGCAAAGUCUUGAUCACCUUUUAAAUCGUUGAG